CGCGCAGCGUGAGUGCCAGGAAGCGGCUGAGCGCACGAGUGCGCGCGCGUAUUUAACUGAGUGAGUUGAAAGCGGGUGGCGUGAGUCUGCACGCGCUUUGCUGUCAGAAACACAAGAUGUUUGACAAGCUCACCGGAGGCACGAGCGCACAUUUCUACCCAUUUCAGUUGUUUGUUCAUACAUAAAGAAUCUGUCUAGCCAUCUGUUUUGGCAAGAGAAGAGAAGAACAGAACAAGAAAAAAAGAGAAAAGAAGACAUCUUGUCUUGGUACUAGUUGGCUUGGAUGGUCAUGGGGCAUAUGGUGGCCUAUGACUAAUGACCUUUGAAUCUGAAAAUUUCAACAUGUCAGAAACAGGAGAAUCUGAAAAUAUCCCAGAAUGCACUGUGGAGGAGACUUCACCUCCAUGUUGUACCACAGACACAAAGGACUGUCAUGAAUCCACCCAGGCCAAAGGAAAAUUAGUUCGGAGCACAGCUGUGUGUGAUGAGUCUUUAUCAACUGAAGAGAACAGCAAGGAAAAAGAGAGCAAGACAACUGUAUCUAGUAACCAUGGUGACAGUCCUGAGUGCAGUGAGGAGGAAGAGGAAACAAACAUCACAUCGAAAAAAACAAGUUUAUCUAAAGAGCCCAGUCUGGAGUACACCGACUCCACAGGCAUUGAUCUGGAGUUGUUUUUAAUCACUACUUUGAAAAGCAGUCCCAGGGACAGACUGAUGCUUCUAAAACUCGAGCAAGACAUGACUGACUUUAUGACAGACAACAGGUACCAUUCCAUGCAUGCUUUAGAAAUAGACAUUUCCCUCAGAUGUCCUCAUAUCACAGGAUGCUGGUCCACAGGACCAGAACAUCGGUUUGCUGAACAUGUUCAGGAGGAGAAAACAGAGGAAAGAAGAUCAAUACUGAAGAGAGACACCAGUCAGGAGAAAGAAGACAGUCGGCUCAGGGUUCCAUCUCUCAAAGAACAAAUGAGGAGCAAGUCAAUAGAGGAGAGAGAGGAGGAGUACCAGAGAGUCAGAGAACGCAUAUUCUCACAGGAUGUAAGAAAACACUUACUUAAAAAUAUUCUCAGUGAGACCCAGAGAAGACGGCAGCUAUUUAGGGAUGGCUCAGGACGGCUGUCCGGCAGCAGGCAGAGCAGCUUUGAACUGGACUCUCAUUGGAAUGACCCUCGACCUUGGAGCAGCACAGAUUCUGACAGCCCGACAUGUACCUCUAAAUCUGCACAUGCUCGUUCAGAUAGCAGCUCCAAACUCUGCAAUCCAGCUCUAUCAUACGCUCCACCCAACAACAGCCUUGCUUACAUUAUUGUGCCUGCUGAGUCAUCAAUACCGCCUGGGAGCAUCUUAUUGAAUCCACAUACAGGGCAGCCAUUUCUGAAUCCUGAUGGAACUCCAGCUGUUUACAACCCGCCAGUAAGUCAGAAGCCAUGUAACCAGCUUAACCCAGGACAGUCACAAGCCCCGCCCCCUCCACCUCAGAUUUUUUUUUUUUUAAAUCAACAAAAUUCACAAUCUGCCCUCUCAUUUCUGCAGUUAAACAUUUCUACCUCCCAGCAACACCCAAUAGAACAGACUAGGGAAGACAUUACUGCUAAGUUUGGUCACAUGAACUUGAGUCGCCAGUCGUCAUCAGGGGAUCUUCCAGAUAUGCCCUCAUUCUACAUGCAAGGAGCUCCACCCACACACAGCUAUGCUCCGCCUCACCACAGUUAUGCUUCGUCUCACCAUUCAGACAGUUACAUAACCCCUGGAAUGACAUUGGCUCCUCCCACAGCCCCGCCCCCUCAGAGUCAGCAGAGCAGCCAGGUUUCAGUGUACAGUUACCCUGUUCAAUGUCCCAGUGCAUCUCAACAAUACGCAGCAGCCAGUUACAAUGCACAAACAGUAUACCCGCCUGUUAUGUCAAACCAACAAGGCUGCCCGGGCAUGAUGGGAAGUCAGAUUCUGCCCCAAACACAGCCUGGCAUUGUGGGACCUUACCCAUCCGUAUCCUCCUAUCAGCAACAACAACAACAACAGUCCUAUCCUGCAAUGCUGGUGUCAGGACAAAGUGGGCAGACACAGUGUUUGGUGCCCCCUGCUGGAGUUCAAGUAUACUGCAGCUCUUUGGCCCCUUCUUCCCCUCCACUUAAUGUGAUGGGGGUUUCCUUCCAGUCAAGUAGCUGCAAAAAUGGCUGUAGCGUUAAUCAGAACCAGUGCUGGUACUAA
Molecule: long non-coding RNA, 2208 nt
Filed under: Sinocyclocheilus anshuiensis
Lineage: Eukaryota; Metazoa; Chordata; Actinopteri; Cypriniformes; Cyprinidae
Description: lncRNA (ENSSANG00000014848.1)
Source: RNAcentral